RNAcentral lists this unclassified non-coding RNA (2765 nucleotides) under Hevea brasiliensis (rubber tree). Lineage: Eukaryota; Viridiplantae; Streptophyta; Magnoliopsida; Malpighiales; Euphorbiaceae. The record is from RNAcentral.
UAAAAUCUUUAAUCUUUGUUGUGAUACUAAAAACUACAAAAGAAAGUCGAAAUUUCCUUUUCUGGUAAAGGCACUUUUCCUACCCUGAACAAUGAGAACUACGCCUUAAGAAAAAUUAACUAAGCUGCCUGUCGGCAUCAUCAACGGACAGGAUUGGAAAAGAAAAUAACGACAAAAUAUACAAAAAACCCAGCAAGAAGAAUCCCACCAUAGAUAUAAGUUUGUGAAGAGUGGACCGGAUAUUUGUACUCAAUUUCACAGCACUUCAUUUUCUCUCUCUCACUUGCCAAAACAUGAUCCACAUACUGCUGUGUAAACAUAGAGCUCUGAAGAAUUUCUGAACUAUUCAAAUGUGCAUCUUGUAACUGGUGAUCAUAUAACAAAGAAGACAAAUCUACAAGCUGUUCCUCAAGCCCAUCAAGGUAUUUCUCCAACCUGUCAACUAAUUCAUGCGGAAAAGGUUCAGGCAAGUUGGUUGUUUUCUUGUAGAAUUUCUCUAACCACAGUUCAGUGGUCGUUUUGUUUUUCUUGCCUUUCACAGGCUCGCCAAGAGGGGUUUUCAGAUAUUCUGCAGCAAAUGCUUGCACAGCCUCUGAAGUAUCACGAAUUCUACGAAGAGCAGAAUCCACACGUGCAUAUAUUGUGUUCCUCAAGGCAACAUCCUUCAGCAAUUUACUGAUUUUCGAAGUAUUAGAGAAUGGCCCAAAUGGAUGACAACCAGCUGCCCAGAGCCAAUUUACAAUUGGCCUUUCAUGUACAUGAGAUGCCUUCUCAUAUGGUGCACUCACCCCACCAACAGCAGAAGCGAGCCCCGCCAAUAUGUGCCGCUGUGCUAGAGAUGGAAGGGCAUGCCUUCUCUCUGUUUCUGAUACAUAACUCAAAGGAAUCUUUUCAUGUUGAUGCUGAAGUACAAUGACAACAUCAUUGCUUGUCCAAACAAGGCUUUCGUCUUCCAUCAUAAGGUGUGGGUCCACAUCAGCCAAUGAUAGCACAAAGACUGGGAUAAUUCUUGUUCCAUAAGUGCGGUGUAGAUCCCCUUGUUUCUUAUGUUCAUUCUGUUUCUUAUUCUUCUUCUUCUUCUUCUCCUUGCCAUGUCUUGAAUCAUAACUAGCCCAUAGAGGUUUAUGCUUAAGAAUGGAGUCAUCUGAACCAUCAGAUUCAUCCAUCCAAUUCUGGCGGAGAAAAAAUUUACUUGAAAGAGAUGGGUCAGCCAACUCAACUAAACCUGCAGCAAGCACAUCAGCAGAACGUUCCAUCUCCUCCUUAAGUAUAGCGCCAUCAAGAUAAGUCUUGGUAUGCACAUGGAAUCGCCCAUCCUUUUUAGUUUCUUGCAAAGAAUGACCUCGCAUUGCUUUUGAAACAGCAAUAGCCAACUUCUCAUGACGAUGUAAUGCAUGUGAACCACCUACAAUCACAACUUCUUGUCCAUCAUGAACCAUCCUCUUCACCUCUGAUUCAAUUUCUUCAAUGUUUAUGCUGUAAUUGUGACCCUUCUCCAUAACAUUAUAUCUAUUAUGGUUUUGAAGCACAAUGAUAGGUAUUAGCAACCUUGUUGCCAGGUCAACAGUCUCAAACCUAACAUCUGGAGCUAUAACAUGCUCAACUGUGGUUGCUAUCAAAGCAGCAAGUUGUCCAACAAAGAUAUCAUGGGACACAUGAUCACUAAUAGCAUUUACUCCUAUUGGAAACAUUAUGUUCCGUAUCCGUGGCAAUGUUCUAGAACUGACACUUCCCUCUUCAGUUUCAAUCUUUCCAUAUGUGCAAGGUCCUGCUGACAGGUCGAUCACAACAAAUCUGUCUGAACUCAGCCAAACUUGAGUAGCUCCUCCUCCAUUAUAUCGAUAUCGGUAAACGUAGUUUCCCUCUUGUUUACUAAUGUCCUCAUUGGUCAACGUGGUGAUUUUCCCAUACAUUAAGCUAUCAAGAUUAAUUUCCUUGUUUCUGGGGUCCAUUCUUACCUUAUCAAAAUUGACAAUAAAAAUUGCAUUGGGAACAGGCCUAUCAUUCUCCGCAGCAGUAUACCUCAUAUUCUCCAUGUCAAAUAUGUAAGAAUACAACUUGUGAAACACAGGCUCCACAACUGUUGCCUCCACCUCAAACAGCGGCACCUCCCUUCCAAAAUCAGUCUCUCUCGCAGUCCCAGCAGGAACCAUAGCCUCCUUCAGCGCCUUCUCGAGUGUAAUCAGUUCCGGUUGCCCAGCAGGAAAUGCGUUAUAAACAACAUGAUGUUCAAUAUCGAGAGGCUCGCCGGUCUCUAGGCAUGAAGGUCUGUGAGAUGGAAAACUAGUUCUCAGAAAUUCUUCCAACUUGUGCGUAUCUAAGGUGAACCUAUAGCCUCCAUCCCCAUUAAAUCCAAUGAGCACCACAUUCACCUCCAAUGGUACCUGGAACGGAACCUCCGCUCGAGUGUGGAGCAUCCGGCGAACAUCUGAACGAACGCUGUCUCUGACAUCGUGAAAUGCGCCGUGAUGCCACUGAGGAUGCCCUGGGUCUCUCCGAAAGGCCUGAGGUGCUGAGUUGGACCGAGUCACGAGCAGAAUCACCGUGAGAAUCGCCUCGUAAUAUAGAAAUAGAAAGCCUGAAUUUGAUUUCCUAGACAUAAUUAAAGUAGGAAUAAGCAGGAAUUGUUAACUUGGAAGAAGGGAAAAUGAUUCAUGAAGCAUCAGUAGUUUAGAUCGCUCGUUGAGACUCUCUGGUGCGAUUCUCUUCCAGGCUAGGUCUUCCGCGAAAGAACUCCAUUGGACUGAUACAAUUCCCCAAUUGCG